GUUUCUUUUUAUUUAUGGACAUUUAAAAACCUUCUAGGGAAUGCCAGUGCAGAUGCAAUCAUAGUAUCGCUAUAUUGCACGUGUGCCAUGCGAAAGAGAAAAGGAGGCAGCCUGUGGUUGAGUAUUAUAACCGCCGGUGUCGUUUGUUUUUACUCCUGAUCUGGAGAAAAUGUUAUAAUGUUAUGCUCGAGGACAGGGUUUGAAGUUGGUCGUAGCAGCGCUAAAAGCAGCUGAUUACACUUUCUUGAAUUGCAAUCUGGAAUUAGGAAAACUGCAGACGUGCCUUCCCCGUGCGUCUACACUCUACUGCAUUGCCCCAAAGUUUAAUUUUUUUAAAACUAACAAACCAUGCCCGUCAGUCGUAAGCGACACAGUGGGUUAAAUGAAGGAUUAAAAUGCUGCUGUAAAAAUUAUUCUCCCUCUUUCCAGGACCAAAUUACAAAAAACGUCCGCUUAUGAAAAUUGCUUCCUCUCAGCCCCAAACCAGGGCUCAAUCUCAAGUAGCUGCCUAGGCAAAGGGUCAACGGAAGCAAUCGAGGAGACGAUGCCAUGCUGGGAAAUGUAGUCUCGAAAAGUGUCACCAUCUUCCUUCCAUGGUGGGCGGCGGGAACUCCGGUGGAUCUGUUUUGCUUUGCGGAUGGAGCGAAAAGUCGAAACAACUCCUCCACUUAAACAACAUAUCUCUGGAAAAAAUUUAAAGGAUAUGUCAAGUACCCGGGUUGUUCUCUAGUUACCUGGUAAUUGGAGAUGCUUCCAUUGGAUCCUCUUGGGAUCAUGGAUGAUGAAGGCAUGGCUGGGCACCUGCUGAGGACCUGCACCCCAGCAGUGGCCCACUGAGCACAGGCCCCUGGAGUUGGUCCUCUUCUUCACUACUGCAACCUGCUUAUCCUCCUGCUUUUCACUCUGGGACAGGCUCUGGAGGUGGUGAGAUGGUGCAGCAGAUACCACUGCCUACUUCUCCUCUGCUUGGUGAGUGACUGGUAACAAGCAAAAGAAAGAGGAGAAGGAGAAGGCAGUGAGAAAAUAGGCUCACUGAAAAAAGGGGUAUUGUGCUUCCUCUGUCCGAUUGAAUUUAUAGAUCUGUUAUGUGGCAGUAAUGAACUGGAUCCAAAAGAACAAGAGUUCAAGAGUUGUGGGUGGGGCUUAUUGAAAGAUGGAAAGUCUGACUUUUUUGGAUGAUGCAUUUAAUGCUUUUUGUCCAUGCUCAUUACAUUAUUUGAUCUUCAUCUGCUUUUUCCUUCCUGAUCCUGCAAGGCAAAUAACAUUUAAGACACGUAACAGCUGGGUAGCUGUGUUAGUUUGUUGCAGCAAAAGAGA
Varanus komodoensis (Komodo dragon) is the source of this 1317-nucleotide long non-coding RNA. RefSeq lists it as uncharacterized. Lineage: Eukaryota; Metazoa; Chordata; Lepidosauria; Squamata; Varanidae. The record is from RefSeq and is a predicted model, not a curated record. The transcript is spliced from 3 exons.